UACGAAGGGGGCUAGCGUUGCUCGGAAUCACUGGGCGUAAAGGGCGCGUAGGCGGCGUUUUAAGUCGGGGGUGAAAUCCUGGAGCUCAACUCCAGAACUGCCUUCGAUACUGGGAGUCUCGAGUCCGGGAGAGGUGAGUGGAACUGCGAGUGUAGAGGUGAAAUUCGUAGAUAUUCGCAAGAACACCAGUGGCGAAGGCGGCUCACUGGCCCGGUACUAACGCUGAGGUGCGAAAGCGUGGGGAGCAAACAGG
RNAcentral lists this ribosomal RNA (253 nucleotides) under uncultured bacterium. Its description in RNAcentral is "partial 16S ribosomal RNA". It matches the Rfam family "Bacterial small subunit ribosomal RNA", at positions 524 to 776 of the family's 1533-position model. The record is from RNAcentral.